Molecule: unclassified non-coding RNA, 253 nt
Filed under: uncultured Flavobacteriaceae bacterium
Lineage: Bacteria; Pseudomonadati; Bacteroidota; Flavobacteriia; Flavobacteriales; Flavobacteriaceae
Description: contains 16S-23S intergenic spacer region
Rfam family: Bacterial small subunit ribosomal RNA
Source: RNAcentral
UACGGAGGAUCCAAGCGUUAUCCGGAAUCAUUGGGUUUAAAGGGUCCGUAGGCGGGACAAUCAGUCAGCGGUGAAAGUCUGUGGCUCAACCAUAGAAUUGCCAUUGAUACUGUUGUCCUUGAGUGUUUAUGAAGUGGUUGGAAUAUGUAGUGUAGCGGUGAAAUGCAUAGAUAUUACAUAGAACACCGAUUGCGAAGGCAGAUCACUAAUAAAAUACUGACGCUGAUGGACGAAAGCGUAGGUAGCGAACAGG